Drosophila ananassae is the source of this 1546-nucleotide long non-coding RNA. RefSeq lists it as uncharacterized. The transcript has 2 exons. NCBI's taxonomy places the organism in Eukaryota, Metazoa, Arthropoda, Insecta, Diptera, Drosophilidae. The record is from RefSeq and is a predicted model, not a curated record.
CAUUUUUCUGCUGCUUCUUUCUUCCACAAAACUUUAUUCCAUUCCAACUUUUUCUGAUUCUCCUUUGCGCGGAACUCGUGUGGAUUCUGCCGUCCUCCUUAGUCCGAGCUCCUCAACGGUUUUUCCCAAUUCGCUUCUCUCCGUUGUUCCUCCUUCUAUCUCUGGGCUCGGCGGUCCCACGUUGACGCCUCUCUCUCUCGCUAUCCCGCUCUACACGUGCGGGACUCCGGGUAGCUUUUCCGCGUCGAGGCCCGCGAUUUCCGAUAUGUUUCCCACGAGAGGUACUCUUCGGGGUUGCGGGAAAACGUGGGCCCCUUUCGAAGGGUUCUUCGCUCUCUUUGCCAAGUUUCCAGCGUGACUUUGGUCCGGCACUGUGUUCCUUGGCCGCUUCUGUUGCUGUUGCAGGUUAGCCCCUUGCACUCGCGACUUGUUAGCGAUCCCGCGGUCUCGAUUAGAAGUUUUCCGAGCUUUUCCGAGCCUGAUGCCGCGUAACCGUAUGAUGAUUUUCGGAUAUAACCCGCGUGGAAACGAAAAAUAAAAGAAGAGUUUUAUUUUUUCCUCUGGAUCCCUCUUUGCGCGUCCGACUUGUCGUAAGUCCAAAAUUGAAAAGACCGGCUGCCUUCUCCCGCGUCAUUUCCUACCCUCUCUUAGACAGACCAGCCUAGAUCAAUCCCCGAUCAGCUGGCCGAUGAUUCGCCUAAGUGGUAACUCUUGAUCAAAUGGGAUAUUUUUUUUUUGUUUAUUUAUCGCGGGUUAUGUUCAAAUAUUAUUCUUUGUUUUCUUGGUUUUUUUGUUUUUCUUUAUGCAUAUGUCGCUUCUGGCACCGUUACAUUCCAAAGAUAUGGUAACAGCUAAAUCAAAUUUUGUAAUUUUAGUUGGUAUACAUACAUUUCAAAAAUGAAAUGUACUAAAAACAAUGAUGGUCAACACAAUUACAGGGCCAACAUAAUUCAAUAUAUGGUAAAAUUUGAUCAAUUUCUUCUUUUAGCUGUACCGCGGAUACUGUGGGUGAUGGAACCCAUGUUUAUACUGGACAUUGUUUCAGAGAACCCCAAAGGAUAUGGAGCAGGUGAAAUUAUGCGUGUAGAUUUUUUUCGAUUGGCCUGUGAAAUCAAGAUCAGCUGCCUAGAAUUUAUGACCGCAGCAAUGUGAUAAACAAGACUUCCAAUAUGCCUUCAAAGUGAAGGGAACGGGAGACAUAAAUCGCAACUCAAUGGAUUUAGGAAGGAAUAAAUCCAGCACUGUUCUUUGAUGCUCAUUUGUGAGAAAAAGUCGCUUCAUUGCUCCAACUAUUUUUUGGCUCCAACGAUGUUUGUGGCAUUGUCCAACCAUAUCUGGCGAGGUUUUCUCCGGAUAGAAAUAAACCUAAGCGCAUGCAAACCAAUAAGAGCAUGCAGAAACGUGGCGGUGGACAAUGCCCUCACCAACUGCCAGUGCACAACCAUCAUUGCAAAACAAAGAAACACGCUUACGUCACAUUUUAUUGGGGUCUAAGUGCGCAUCUCCGAUUGAAAUGAACGGGCCGCAAAAAUCAAUACUGGUGAGA